Molecule: unclassified non-coding RNA, 132 nt
Filed under: uncultured fungus
Lineage: Eukaryota; Fungi
Description: sequence contains ITS1
Source: RNAcentral
UUGACUAUUUCGUAAAUAAUACUCAGACUUCACUAAUUGCACGGGUUUAAAAAGAGGACCCCACCUUCAGCGUUAGCCUUGGGCGGGGGGGUUCAUUCUAUAAUGAUCCUUCCGCAGGUUCACCUACGGAAA